RNAcentral lists this ribosomal RNA (254 nucleotides) under uncultured bacterium. RNAcentral's name for it is "partial 16S ribosomal RNA". It matches the Rfam family "Bacterial small subunit ribosomal RNA", at positions 524 to 776 of the family's 1533-position model. The record is from RNAcentral.
UACAGAGGUCUCAAGCGUUGUUCGGAUUCAUUGGGCGUAAAGGGUGCGCAGGCGGCGGUUCGCGUGGCGAGAUGAAAUCUCCUGGCUUACCUGGGAGGAUGGUCGCCAGACGGGAUCGCUUGAGGGUCGGAGAGGGGCGUGGAAUUCCGGGUGGAGCGGUGAAAUGCGUAGAGAUCCGGAGGAACACCGACGGCGUAGGCAGCGCCCUGGACGACACCUGACGCUGAGACGCGAAAGCGUGGGGAGCAAACAGG